RNAcentral lists this non-coding RNA (29 nucleotides) under Homo sapiens (human). Lineage: Eukaryota; Metazoa; Chordata; Mammalia; Primates; Hominidae. The record is from RNAcentral.
UNUGCCUCGUAUCCUCAUCCCAGGGCUGU